Non-coding RNA from Camellia sinensis, 2472 nucleotides. NCBI's taxonomy places the organism in Eukaryota, Viridiplantae, Streptophyta, Magnoliopsida, Ericales, Theaceae. The record is from RefSeq and is a predicted model, not a curated record.
AUAACCUCAAAGCAUUUUCUGUGCAGUGAGAAGGGCGACAAAGAAGAAGAAGAGACACUCUGAAAAAUCCUCCAUCUCUAUCACCAUACCUUACCUUUCUUCCUUCACCCCCUAAGACUAACCCUAACCCUAACCAUAAUCCUUACCCUAACUUCUUCUAUUCUCAUCUUCACCACCAUCCCUCUUCUACUACCACCACCAACUCAAUCACUUCACCACCGCCACGUCCGCCUCUGCCGCAGCCUCCCGAUCUCCCAACCACUCUCUCAAUACUCAAACACCUCAUCCAUCUCUUCGAAAACCACCCUUCACUCCAUCUUCACUCCCCUCCCCACCACCGUCACUGCCACCACCACUGCCCUCUGCCCCUGUCCUUUCAAUUUCCAGCACUACCUUCCGCCGGAAUCCCUCUUCCGCCACUUCCUCCAAUGCCCUUCUUUCCCUUCCCCCCUUCUCAACUUCGACCCUCUCCUACUCCAAUCACUGCGCUAUCCCAACACUCUCAAACCCUUCCAACAACUCUUUAAUUAGAACCGCUUCCUUCAAACCCUACACAAUCCCAACUCCAACCUUUAUUUCUCCCUCGAUGAAUAUCGCGACUUCAGUCCCAAUUUCUUCUACCGUAAUUACCCAGGCAUAGUUAGCUCUGUCAAUCAAGAUAGUUUGAGUGAAACCUUUACUCUCCCAGGUAUUCUAUCGAUUCAAUGUGCAAAUUUUGUGGGCAGUGUUAAUGGUGAAAUUAAGGGUUUUUCUAGGAAUUGUGUUAGGCUUCUUCCUUCGGAGUUGUGGCUUGUUAGGAGCAAAAUUGAGUCGUGGAGGGAUUAUCAUAUUGCCUAUUGGUAAAGAGUUCUUCGGAGCAUUUUGUGUUCUGUUAUGGCUGAAGAUUGUGAUUUCCUCAGAUGGGUGAUUGUGAAUUCGCCUCGUUAUGAUGUUAUGAUUGAUGUGCCUAUGAUGGACCAUAUAGUUUUGCUUUUUUAGCUUUGUUCGAAUGCAAUUGUGAGGAAAGCUAUUGGUUUGGUGGAUUUAGUAUUGAACAGAGAUGUGAGCGAGUUGAAUCCGGCUGCUGUGAGUUUAAAGUGUCUCAUUUUGGACCUCAAAGUCUAUCAUUGAUGUCUCUUUGCUGGUUGAUGUAUGCGACUGUGGUGCUAUUUUUUUUAAAGCAGUAGGCUCUUGCUGCUUUAAAGAGAGCUUUCCACCGUGUUCAACCCUUCGAUGUUGUCUGCCUCAACGAUGAUGGUUCAGAUUCAUCCCCAGCUUUCUCUCCCAAACAAAGAAAGCUUUCGUAUACCACUGUAAAGCUCUCUACUUUUUUGCAAAUUUUAUUGAAUUUGAAUGAUUUAGCAACUUAGAAUGUGGGUCUUUGUUUGAAAUUGAUUUGAGUAUUGGUAUUAAUUUGAAUUUAGGUUGAGAAGGUAGAUAAGAAUGAGAAAUUCAUAGAGGUUGUUGAUUGUGAAAAUAAGGAAGAGGCUGAUUGGCUACCUUGACCUCCUAAAGUUUCAACUUAUACACUAAAACUCGGUAAGGAUUCAACUAUAAAGGAGUUGAGAAGAAAAAAACUUCAAAAGAUGCGAUCGUUUCUCAGGGCAACAAAUCCCUCUUGAAGCAUGGUUCUGGUGAUAUUCAGGUAGAAGAGAAAAGUUUCAUGCAAGUAAAGAGAGGAAUGCUUUCACAGAAACCAUGUCCCUAACGAGGAAUCAGAAAAACUAUUUCUGAAACAGAAGAUGAUAUUUGAACUACAGAACAGAGAUAUUAUAGAGCUGAAACAAACUCUUCACACUACAAAAGCUGUUGCUUGGCUGUUCAUGUCCAAGGAAAGGACUUGAUAUCUGGAACUAUUCUUCAUGGCUGUAUGCAUUUAGUUGAUCUGGCAGGAAGCGAGAGGGUAGACAAAUAUAAAGUUGCAGAAGACAGACUAAAAGUGGCGCAACAUAUAAACAAAUCUCUUUCUGCUUUGGGUGAUGGGGUCUCUUCCCUUGCUCAGAAGAAUUCACACGUCCCUUACAAGAACAACAAACUCACACAAUCACUCCAAGACUCACUUGGGGGCCAGGCCAAGACAUUAAUGUUUGUUCACAUAAGCCCCGAGCUCGAUGCUGUUGGAGAAACAAUAAGUAACCUCAAAUUUGCCGAGCGUGUUGCCACCAUUGAACUUGGUGUUGCUCGUGUAAACAAAGAUAGCGCAGAUGUUAAAGAGCUCAAAGAGCAGCAGCCUUGGCAAGGAAAGAAGAGCCAGUUGAGCCUUUGCAACAGCAGAAAGUGUCUAGUAGCCAAGGUUUUAAAAAGCGGCCGCAACCGUUACGUAACGCCGUUACGUAACGGUUUUGGCAUUUACCACCACCCGUUAUGGCCGCUUUUGCAGUGUGAUUGAGAAUCACAGGUGUGUCGGCCGUAGCGGCUGCCAUAGCGGUCGUAACGGUGUCGUAAUGGCCUGUUACGCACCGUUACGUAACGGUUUCAAACUGUUUCUUUCGA